Bactrocera tryoni is the source of this 1119-nucleotide long non-coding RNA. RefSeq lists it as uncharacterized. The record is from RefSeq and is a predicted model, not a curated record. The transcript is spliced from 3 exons. NCBI's taxonomy places the organism in Eukaryota, Metazoa, Arthropoda, Insecta, Diptera, Tephritidae.
UGGUGAGUUGAAUAAAUUAAUUUUUAAAUUUUCUGUUUAUUAAUAUUCGAUUGUUUUAAAUAAAUUUGGCGGAAAAAGUAAAGUGGACAAAAGCGCUAAUUGAAAAAUUAAUAUAUUUGGUAGAAGCACAGGAGUAAUUAUAGCAUAAAGUCACCGUUAUAUUUGGACCGGAAUGUAAAAGCUGAAGCUUUUAACAAAAUCUGUGAGGAGCUAAACGUGCCAAACAUAAACGUGUGUGAAAUAAAAAAAAUGGAAAAAUAUAAGAACACAAUAUUUACGAGAAAUUCGUGAAGUGCGCAAUUCACGAAAAAGCGGAGCUGGUAUACACGAUUUGUAUUCUCUAAAGUUCUGGUGCUUCUCGCUGCUGCAAUUUUUGGAGCAGCAUACCCAAAUUAGGAGGGGGGAAUCUAACUACGAGGAAAUACUUUUUUUUAUUUUAUUAAAUUUUAUUACAUCAAUUCAAACAAAUAUUAUACGGGAGUCGGGAGUGAGAAAAUAAUAUAUCUCCAACAACAACCCAACCAAUUGUGGCUGAAGAGACUGUUAAUAUAGUAAAUCAUUCAUAUACAUAUACAUAUGUGUAUAAAACAAAUAGUUUUAACCUUUAUACUUAUCUACAUUUAUAGGCAACUGAAAUAAUGAAUGGCGAAAAAGAAAGGCAGAAGAAAAAGGGAAAGCACUGCAUUGACUAAAGUGAGGCAGGAUUUGGCGGCUGUGAGAGAACAAAUCGCUGAAAGACGCAAUAGACCGUAUAGUUGGUUGGGCAAUUUGGUCUCUGCGAAAAUGUAGAAGAUAGUUCCUCACAUGCGAGAACACGCUUAAUGGGAGGUCCAAUGCCUUAUGCGCCGUUUAGUACAAAAAUCAAAGAGAUAUGGUGAUUCGCAUAUACAAUCCCCUCAAAACGACUUACUUCAGAAUGCAAUGAAUGGGAUUUUUGAAGAUGAAGAUUUUGAUUUUUGGUCGAUUAAUAUAUAUAAUGGAAAAGUUUGAAUGAAAUGUGACUGAAAUAAAAUUUUAAGGCUGGCUUUUUUAAAGUACGAAUAAUGUAGAUAUUUAUAUAUUGUUCUAAGAAAUGUUUUUAAUUUAAAUCUAAAAUGUAAUACAUUUAAAGACUGAUUU